Non-coding RNA from Pelobates cultripes (western spadefoot toad), 5029 nucleotides. Lineage: Eukaryota; Metazoa; Chordata; Amphibia; Anura; Pelobatidae. The record is from the annotation of a GenBank genome assembly.
GGGAAAGUUUCCAGCCAUUGUGUAGACAUGGAUGAUAGCACAUAUUUCAACUGAUCGGUUUGUUUGCAUUCUAGAUCCCUGGUGCUCCUGAUGAGGAUGCUGUGAGAAUAUUUCUGGAAUUUGAACGGGUGGAGUCCGCAAUUAAAGGUAAAUUGCAUAGAUUAUAUAAGGCCCCAUUUGCUUGACAAGUUUCUGCGGGAGGGUUGGAAUACUACUGUGGUGAUUACACACUAUUAUUAAUUGUUACACUCAUUUGCUAAGGCUUGCAAAUUGAAUUGCAAAAGACAGAUGACUCUUUUUCAAAAAUUACUAAUCUAAUUUGCAGAUGCCUGUCUUCUUAGUGGUGUGCCUACAGUAUAAUGUACACACAUGCUAAUUAAACUGUAGUUUAAGAUCUAAAUCAUUUCAAUGCAAUAUAGGUGGUCAAACAAUAACUUUGGCACUUAUGCCCAUUUUUAUUUAUUGAUUGUUUCAAAACCAUGUAGAACACCUUCUGCCCAUUUCAUUCCAUUACCAUUGGUCAGUUUUACAUUGGGUUGAGUUUUUCGUCCAUGUUUCUAAAUACAAAGUAAGUUUCAAAUUUGAGAAGAAAUUACCCAAACUGGGGAAAAAAGAUUUGUCGGUCUCCAAUUCAACUGUUUUGGCCUAAAAAUUUUUAUUCAGUUUGAAUGCUUGACAAUUCACAUGCUCAUGAAUAGCCCUGUAAUUGUGUAUGAAAUGAGAUUGAUCGUACAGUUAACACAUUACUGAAGUAACCUGUAGACGUUAAAUUAAUUGCUUGGAGAAUGUUUGUUUUCAACGUUCCUCUUCUUUUUUUCAAAUCUUCACCAAGAAGAUAAUUCAUAUAAGUGCUUAGCUUAUUACAGGCUUGCAUAAGCAAAUGGGUGUCUAUUGCCUCUUACGUGUGUUUCUAUAAAGGAAUGAAUCACCCAGGCCAUGAUACCUUUAAAGGACCACUCUAGGCACCCAGACCACUUCAGCUUAAUGAAGUGGUCUGGGUGCCAGGUCCUUCUAGGCUUAACCCAUUUUUUCAUAAUUAUAGCAGUUUCAGAGAAACUGCUAUAAUUAUGAAUGGGUUAAGCCUUCCCCCUAAUCCUCUAGUGGCUGUCUCAUUGGCAGCCACUAGAGGCGCUUGCGUGCUUCUCACUGUGAUUUUCACAGUGAGAGCACGCAAGCGUCCAUAGGAAAGCAUUGUAAAUGCUUUCCUAUGCGACGGGCUGAAUGCGCGCGCAGCUCUUGCCGCGCGUGCGCAUUCAGCCGGCGGGGCGGAACGGAGGCGGAGAGGAGGAGGAGAGCUCUCCGCCCAGCGCUGGAAAAAGGUAAGUUUAAACCCCUUUUCCCCUUCCAGAGCCGGGCGGGAGGGGGUCCCUGAGGGUGGGGGCACCCUCAGGGCACUAUAGUGCCAGGAAAACGAGUAUGUUUUCCUGGCACUAUAGUGGUCCUUUAAGUAGCCAACAAUGGGAGGAAAAUGGGACAAAUAUGUUUUUAUACAGUGUAACCCCUUUGUUGCUAGGCUGUUUUAUAUUUCUAUGCUAAAACUACACAUAGGCUUUUGCAUUAACUGCAUUUUAACACCCAUAUGUUAGUGUUCUUCGAGUAACUCUCGUAUGUUAUAUGCAGAAAAUACAGAAUAUUUUUUUUUUUUAAUUGCUCUCAUUUAAAAAAAAUGUACUUUCGAUUUAAUUUCCUAUAAUGGGAACCACACCUUUGGCAAAUAUUGUUGAUUGUGUCACUUUUCUGCAUAACACAAGUAUUGCAAUUUUCAUUUAAUGUUGAGAAUCUGCAAUGUUUGCUAGGGAAUUGUGUAUUUAAUUCAACACCUAAUUUGUAAAACACUUGCUUACUCACAAUUGAAAAAGUCUACUCAUAUUGUUGUCAGAUAGGUAUUACUUAGCUGCCCGUAGGUAAUCUAUUGUUGAACGGUAUUACAUUUUUGAUUUAUUGCAUCUGAUUAUUCACUUGCUUCUGUUUCAGCUGUGGUUGAUCUAAAUGGAAGAUAUUUUGGUGGCAGAAUAGUGAAGGCAUCUUUCUACAACCUGGACAAAUUCAGAACUUUGGAUCUUGGCGAGUAACAAGAGAUUGAGAUCAUUCUCUUGACAGAUUGCCAUGGGUUGUCUGUUUCAACCAAGUGGAAAGGACAUCUCUAACUAACCCAGAGUGUGUAAAGUGGAGUGUGCCCUGCUCUCCUUUGAUACACCCGGUUAUAUUUGUCACGUUUAUUGUGAUGAGCUUUUUUUCCCUUUGUUACUUUUCGUUUUAUACCAUAAAAGACUUUGUGAAAACACAACCUUGUCUUGCCCCCUUUUUGAAAGCUGUUUUCUUUUUUUUUUUUUCUUAACACGUGUUUACACCAAUUAUGCACUUGUUUCCCGAGCAUUUGCUGAAUGCUAUUUAUUAUUGGGCUACAUAUAUAUUUCUGACAGUAUCAAAUCUGCACAGAUGUAUUUUAAGUUGUUGUUUUUUAAUUGUGUCAAGUGUUUAUCACUUUUUAAUCUUUAUGUAAAAAAAAAAAAUAUCCAAAUUAUAAUUGGUUUUGUUUCCAAUGGGCAAGACUUUUACACAUCUGUUUACAAUUAUACAUGUUUAAAGGGCAGACCAUAAUAGAGUUCAAUAUCCUAAACAUCGCAUAAUCUGUUUAAUAUUUAUAAUUUUUUACUUUUUAAAACAUAAACGGUUAAUAAUGAUUUUCUGCACUUGGAAUAUUUUUUUUUCAACUUUUUUACCUCUUCCAUAACUUUUAUUCCAUUUCUAUUCCAAAAGUGGUUAAUGAGAUAACUGGAAAAAAAGUAUGUGGAAUUCAAAUGGUCACUUGUUGAUUUAAAUGUCAUGAUGUUAAAGAGGAAGUUUUUGUAGUCUUAAAGUGGCUCUGUCACCUCAAACUUACCUUUCUCCUAAUUUUUUCAUUUCUCUUCUGCUUUCAGAAUCUAUUCUUCCUUUCUGAGCUUUUUCUUUUUAAAACAUAAGACAACUUCAGGACUAUCUCACAAUAUAAAUACAAUAGACCGCACACAGGGAUGAGCCCCUAUAGUCCAUAGAAAAAAUUAAAUGGAAGAUAUGUAAAGUAUGAAAAAAGUGCAUAUUUAUUGGGAUAAAAAAAUGACAUAAACCAAUGGCAUUAGAUUGUCAUGGCAGCCCUCAUAGGUACUCAAGGGUUCAAGCAGGCAUAAUUUAUUAUACAGAUGACAUGUUGUCUCGAAUAAAUAGCAUAGAUAUCCAAGCAAAAGAAACAAGCUUUGCAAAAAUAGGACAGAUUAAUGAGAGGAAUAGAAAUUGUCACAAUUCUUGCUACUGCCAGACAAGGGAGAGAUCACCCACACCACUACCCGAAAAACAAGUGAUGCAAGUACCCUGGACAUGUUUCGCACCUCCAUGAUGCUUUCUCAACAUGUAAUGGUGUGGGUGGUCUCUCCCUUGUUUGGCAGUAGCAGGUAUUGCGACAAUUUGUUUUUUCUCUCAUUCAUCUGUCCUAUUUUUGCAAAGCUUGUUUCUUUUGCUUGGAUAUAUGCGCUGUUUAUGGAGACAAUAUGUCAUCUGUAUAAUAUACUAUGCUUGCUUGAACCCAUCGAGUACCUAUGAGGGCUGCCAUGACAAUCUAAUGCCAUUAUUUUUUAUAUAUGCCAAUAAAUGUGCACUUACUUUCUAUAUCCUCCAUUUAAUUUUUUUCUAUGGACUAGAGGGGCUCAACCCUGUGUGUGGACUAUUGUAUUUUUAUAUUAUGAGAUAUUUUCUAUGAUUGGGAAAAGUCCAGCACCAGGAUCUAAACCCCAUUAACCCAUAUAUGAUCUCAGGAUUCCUAUCUAUGCACUAAGAAUCUACCUGACACUAACGAUACUACAGGUCUUGCUGCAUCGUUUGUACUUGGGAUUUUAUAUCUCCUCUUUUUCACAUUUUCAUGUUUCAACUUAUUAACAUAGGGGUUACUUUGUCUUAUGUAUUUUUUCCUACACUUGACAAAUGGUGCAGCAUAAGGUAAGCUCUACUAUCUUGAUAGGGAGUAGAGUUUGCCUAAUGCCUUAAAAGGGACACUAUAGUCAUCAGAACAACUAAAGCUUAAUGUAGUUGUACUGGUGUCUAAAUCCUGUUCUUGCAGACUUUUUGCUGUAAACACUGCAUUUUCAGAGAAAAGACAGUGUUUACAUUAAAGCUUAGUGCUGUGCAGUGUACAGCACUGAUGUUAAGCGCUAAACUUUCUCCAAAUAGAUGCAUUGAUUUGAAUGCAUCUUUAUGAGGAGAUGCUGUUCGGCUCCGUCCCGCCUCUUUGAUGAUCUCUGCCAAUCCAAUGGUUUUCCUGUGGGAAAACAAUGGAUUGGCUGACAUUAUCAAUUCUGAUAAUGCCAGCCAAGGAGGCAAACCUGUUAAGGGGGAGCAAGUGAACUAAAUGAUGGUUUUAACGCUAUAAGGUAAAGAAUACAUGUUUGUGUUCCUGACCCUUUCGUGUUCCUUUAAGCUCAACCCUUUGUUAAGAUUUUCAACUGUAGGAAAAAUACAUAAGACAAAAUAGCCCCUACUUUGUCUUAUGUUUUAAAGAAACAGAUCAGAAAUGAAGAAAAGAUUUCUUAAAGAGAAAAAGAAAAGGAAACAAUAGAAGAAAGACACGUUUGAGGUGACGGACCCACUUGAAGGACAAUAAUGGAUACAAUUGUUGGAUAACAUUAUUGCAGAGCCAUGGUGCUUCAUUUCUCAUUUUCUUUGUGAUUUUUGGGCUACAAAUAAAACCUAACCUUUUCACCAUGAAAUACUUGUCUGUCAGGUGUUAUAAUGCAAGAAGCAUUGGAUACAUUGCGGCCCGCUUUGGGAUUUUGAGAGGCCCAUUUGUGGGUUUUGUCGGAAUGACCACAAGCUUAAGGGGUCCAUGCACUUAGGGCCACCCAAUGGCCAUCUUUGAUCAGGGUCUGGGAGAAAGUGAGAAAAAGUCCCCUCCUUCCAGCAUACCAACGAACAACACUGCAGAGGGGAGGACCAGAUAAGGGAGAGCCCGGAGUCUGGGCCUGACAACCUUCAUUUCUAGACAGAUGCCAAUGGACCCCAG